CAGAAAGCCGGGCGGGACGGCAGACGAGGCUGCUCGCUGGGAACAACUAUUUAGCCGUCCUGACGCAAGUCGUCCACCUUUUCCGAACUUUAAUCUCCCACCUCUUAAGUCUUAGGAGCAUGAAUCGGCACGCCCAGGCUUGCUAAGAUGACCCAAAUGCAAAUGAGAGCCUGACCAAAACAUUUUUAAACUCUGUAUACGGAGUUAUUUUGAAAUCAGGACCAGAGCUAACUCUGCAGGAAGGAGGAAAAAACUUGAAAAAGAGCAUGUCCACAAAACAUCUCGUGACCUACAGAAGAGAAAACAGACCAUCAAGCUAGAAGGAGAAAAGACUGAUUGAGGGGAAGAUCAGAGUGGAUGAGAGAGCUGUGCAAAAAUAAAAUUCCUACUUUCUUCCACUAUCCCCGGUGUCAGAGAUUGGCUUGCUGUGCAACGGGUGAGUGAACUCACUUCAGGUUCAAUGUCAGAUCUAUGUUCAGAUAAAACAAAACAUUGUCUUCUCUUCUGUAACUCUUACUUUUUCCACCUCCAAUAUCUUCCAUUUAUUUUUCAGAAGUAAUCCCAGGUGACUUGAGAAUGAAAGCAGAAGUCUCUUUUAUCCUACAGCACAAAGGAUCUCUCUAACCCUCUUCC
Molecule: long non-coding RNA, 633 nt
Filed under: Equus caballus (horse)
Lineage: Eukaryota; Metazoa; Chordata; Mammalia; Perissodactyla; Equidae
Description: lncRNA (ENSECAG00000043987.1)
Source: RNAcentral